CGUAACCCCGACCAAAGGGGAGGGCAGCCGGUCCGAAGGUAGGGUNAGUGAUUGGGGUG
This 59-nucleotide ribosomal RNA is filed under the name uncultured bacterium. RNAcentral's name for it is "partial 16S ribosomal RNA". The record is from RNAcentral.